RNAcentral lists this ribosomal RNA (720 nucleotides) under uncultured fungus. RNAcentral's name for it is "SSU rRNA". It matches the Rfam family "Eukaryotic small subunit ribosomal RNA", at positions 827 to 1570 of the family's 1831-position model. Lineage: Eukaryota; Fungi. The record is from RNAcentral.
CGUAUGGUUCUAUUUUGUUGGUUUCUAGGACCGUCGUAAUGAUUAAUAGGGACGGUCGGGGGCAUCAGUAUUCAGUUGUCAGAGGUGAAAUUCUUGGAUUUACUGAAGACUAACUACUGCGAAAGCAUUUGCCAAGGACGUUUUCAUUAAUCAAGAACGAAAGUUAGGGGAUCGAAGACGAUCAGAUACCGUCGUAGUCUUAACCGUAAACUAUGCCGACUAGGGAUCGGAUGGCGUUACAUAAACCCAUCCGGCACCUUACGAGAAAUCAAAGUUUUUGGGUUCUGGGGGGAGUAUGGUUGCAAGGCUGAAACUUAAAGGAAUUGACGGAAGGGCACCACCAGGAGUGGAGCCUGCGGCUUAAUUUGACUCAACACGGGGAAACUCACCAGGUCCAGACACAAUAAGGAUUGACAGAUUGAGAGCUCUUUCAUGAUUUUGUGGGUGGUGGUGCAUGGCCGUUCUUAGUUGGUGGAGUGAUUUGUCUGCUUAAUUGCGAUAACGAACGAGACCUUAACCUGCUAAAUAGCUGUAACAAUAGAUUAUUGUUUUGACAGCUUCUUAGAGGGACUAUCGAUUUUCAAGUCGAAGGAAGUUUGAGGCAAUAACAGGUCUGUGAUGCCCUUAGACGUUCUGGGCCGCACGCGCGCUACACUGACGGAGCCAGCGAGUCUAACCUGUGCCGAGAGGUAUGGGUAAUCUAGUGAAACUCCGUCGUGC